RNAcentral lists this unclassified non-coding RNA (240 nucleotides) under soil metagenome. Its description in RNAcentral is "partial contains 5.8S ribosomal RNA, internal transcribed spacer 2, and large subunit ribosomal RNA". The record is from RNAcentral.
AACAUCGCGCACCUGCGGGAACCUGCGGAGGGAUCAUUACAGAGUUGCAAAACUCCCUAAACCAUUGUGAACGUUACCUAAACCGUUGCUUCGGCGGGCGGCCCGGGUCCUUCCCGGCGCCCCUCGGCCCUCGCGGGCGCCCGCCGGAGGUAAACCGAACUAUUGCAUUGUAUGGCCUCUCUGAGUCUUCUGUACUGAAUAAGUCAAAACUUUUAACAAUGGAUCUCAGAUCGGAAGAGC